RNAcentral lists this ribosomal RNA (493 nucleotides) under uncultured Synergistaceae bacterium. RNAcentral's name for it is "bacterial SSU rRNA". It matches the Rfam family "Bacterial small subunit ribosomal RNA", at positions 888 to 1382 of the family's 1533-position model. Lineage: Bacteria; Thermotogati; Synergistota; Synergistia; Synergistales; Synergistaceae. The record is from RNAcentral.
GCCCGCUCAGAAAUCAAAGGAAUUGACGGGGGCCCGCACAAGCGGUGGAGCAUGUGGUUUAAUUCGAUGAUACGCGAGGAACCUUACCUGGGCUCAAAUGUAUGUUGACGUAUUCUGAAAGGGAUACUUCUUCGGACAAUAUACAAGGUGCUGCAUGGUUGUCGUCAGCUCGUGCCGUGAGGUGUCGGGUUAAGUCCCGCAACGAGCGCAACCCCUGCAUUCAGUUGCCAUCGGGUGAAGCCGGGCACUCUGGAAGGACUGCCAUCGACAAGAUGGAGGAAGGUGGGGACGACGUCAAGUCAUCAUGGCCCUUAUGUCCAGGGCGACACACGUGCUACAAUGGCCGGCACAACGGGAAGCGAGUUCGCGAGGACGAGCGGAUCCCUUAAAGCCGGUCGCAGUUCGGAUUGAAGUCUGCAACUCGACUUCAUGAAGCUGGAAUCGCUAGUAAUCGCAGAUCAGCCAAGCUGCGGUGAAUACGUUCCCGGGCCUU